GGAGCAUUAGCGCAGUUGGCAGCGCACCUGAUUUGGGAACAGGUGGCCGCCGGUUCGAGUCCGGCAUGUUCCACCA
This 76-nucleotide transfer RNA is filed under the name Oscillospiraceae bacterium. RNAcentral describes it as "tRNA-Pro". It matches the Rfam family "tRNA". From Rfam's summary of the family: Transfer RNA (tRNA) molecules are approximately 80 nucleotides in length. Their secondary structure includes four short double-helical elements and three loops (D, anti-codon, and T loops). Further hydrogen bonds mediate the characteristic L-shaped molecular structure. tRNAs have two regions of fundamental functional importance: the anti-codon, which is responsible for specific mRNA codon recognition, and the 3' end, to which the tRNAs corresponding amino acid is attached (by aminoacyl-tRNA synthetases). tRNAs cope with the degeneracy of the genetic code in two manners: having more than one tRNA (with a specific anti-codon) for a particular amino acid; and 'wobble' base-pairing, i.e. permitting non-standard base-pairing at the 3rd anti-codon position. Lineage: Bacteria; Bacillati; Bacillota; Clostridia; Eubacteriales; Oscillospiraceae. The record is from RNAcentral.